Molecule: non-coding RNA, 73 nt
Organism: Thalictrum thalictroides
Lineage: Eukaryota; Viridiplantae; Streptophyta; Magnoliopsida; Ranunculales; Ranunculaceae
Source: the annotation of a GenBank genome assembly
GGAUCUUUAGCUCAAAAGGGUAGAGCACUUGAGAAUGGCUCAAGAGAUGGUGGUUCAAAUCCACCAAGGUCCU